UCCUGUCUGAAUAUGGGGGGACCAUCCUCCAAGGCUAAAUACUCCUGACUGACCGAUAGUGAACCAGUACCGUGAGGGAAAGGCGAAAAGAACCCCGGCGAGGGGAGUGAAAAAGAACCUGAAACCGUGUACGUACAAGCAGUGGGAGCACGCUUAGGCGUGUGACUGCGUACCUUUUGUAUAAUGGGUCAGCGACUUAUAUUCUGUAGCAAGGUUAACCGAAUAGGGGAGCCGAAGGGAAACCGAGUCUUAACUGGGCGUUAAGUUGCAGGGUAUAGACCCGAAACCCGGUGAUCUAGCCAUGGGCAGGUUGAAGGUUGGGUAACACUAACUGGAGGACCGAACCGACUAAUGUUGAAAAAUUAGCGGAUGACUUGUGGCUGGGGGUGAAAGGCCAAUCAAACCGGGAGAUAGCUGGUUCUCCCCGAAAGCUAUUUAGGUAGCGCCUCGUGAAUUCAUCUCCGGGGGUAGAGCACUGUUUCGGCAAGGGGGUCAUCCCGACUUACCAACCCGAUGCAAACUGCGAAUACCGGAGAAUGUUAUCACGGGAGACACACGGCGGGUGCUAACGUCCGUCGUGAAGAGGGAAACAACCCAGACCGCCAGCUAAGGUCCCAAAGUCAUGGUUAAGUGGGAAACGAUGUGGGAAGGCCCAGACAGCCAGGAUGUUGGCUUAGAAGCAGCCAUCAUUUAAAGAAAGCGUAAUAGCUCACUGGUCGAGUCGGCCUGCGCGGAAGAUGUAACGGGGCUAAACCAUGCAC
RNAcentral lists this ribosomal RNA (761 nucleotides) under Escherichia coli. RNAcentral's name for it is "partial 23S ribosomal RNA". It matches the Rfam family "Bacterial large subunit ribosomal RNA", at positions 432 to 1194 of the family's 2925-position model. The record is from RNAcentral. Lineage: Bacteria; Pseudomonadati; Pseudomonadota; Gammaproteobacteria; Enterobacterales; Enterobacteriaceae.